UUCUAUUUUGAUAACACAGAGGUGA
Molecule: non-coding RNA, 25 nt
Filed under: Mus musculus (house mouse)
Lineage: Eukaryota; Metazoa; Chordata; Mammalia; Rodentia; Muridae
Source: RNAcentral